CAGUAGCCGCGGUAAUACGUAGGUGGCAAGCGUUGUCCGGAAUUACUGGGCGUAAAGGGCUCGCAGGCGGUUUCUUAAGUCUGAUGUGAAAGCCCCCGGCUCAACCGGGGAGGGUCAUUGGAAACUGGGAAACUUGAGUGCAGAAGAGGAGAGUGGAAUUCCACGUGUAGCGGUGAAAUGCGUAGAGAUGUGGAGGAACACCAGUGGCGAAGGCGACUCUCUGGUCUGUAACUGACGCUGAGGAGCGAAAGCGUGGGGAGCGAACAGGAUUAGAUACCCCCGUAGUCCCUGUCUCUUAUAC
This 301-nucleotide ribosomal RNA is filed under the name uncultured bacterium. RNAcentral describes it as "partial 16S ribosomal RNA". It matches the Rfam family "Bacterial small subunit ribosomal RNA", at positions 509 to 807 of the family's 1533-position model. The record is from RNAcentral.